This is a long non-coding RNA of Piliocolobus tephrosceles (Ugandan red Colobus), 1306 nucleotides long. RefSeq lists it as uncharacterized. The transcript is spliced from 5 exons. Lineage: Eukaryota; Metazoa; Chordata; Mammalia; Primates; Cercopithecidae. The record is from RefSeq and is a predicted model, not a curated record.
UUUGCAACUGAAGCAACUGAGCUUUAUGUCAGAUAAAGAUUAAAAAGGAGAAAAAGUGACAUGUUUUCACAGAGCUGUUUUAAAUGUGAUGCGAAGAACAACAGCAAUAGCAGUACUCCCUUGGAACUGGGGAGAAAAGAAAAUUCUUGGGCCCCAUCCGAGACCUGCUGAAUCUCUGCCGGGGCAAGCUAGGGCUCCUCAUUUAACAAGCCUUCCAGGUGAUUUUUAUGCCGGCUGAAAUUUGAGACCUGCAGUCAUGUGUCUACUAAUUUCUGGAACAUGGCAGAGAAGAAAUGGGCCAGUUUAUUUACAGGAUUUGAUUGGGAGGAUGGUUGCCAACUACACUCUUUCUCCUGUCAGAAGGAUAAGAAACAGGUGUUUUGAAAGUGCCCAUGGCCAUAAGGGAGAAAGAGCACUAGACCAUCUGAAUAACAGCGAAAGUGGACACAGGAAACACCAGACAACCGGAGAAAUGGAGUCCAAAUGACAAUCAGAAAAUGCCUCUCUGAAGAGGUGAGCUGAGAUCUGAUAUCCAAGAAGCAUUCAUUUAUAGAGUUGGUGAGCAGAGGUCAGUACUAUUCAAAGCAGAGAAUGGGGUAAGUAUUAAAAAUUAUCCAGGGUAGGAAAGAAAUGAAGUUCAUUUAUGUCACAAAAAUUCAAAAGGGGACGAUGUGGAAGACAGUGGAAUGGGCAGGGUUAUUGGUGGAGGCCACACCAUACAAGGUUGUAGAAGACAUGAUAAGGCAUUUGGAUUUAUUUGAAGAGUUUUUGGAAAGUAUCAAAUGAUUUUAAUUAGGGAAAUGGCAUGAUUUCCGAUAGAUUUUAAAGAGUCUUCUCUUUUAAUGAUCCUGUGUAGUGCAUGAAUAAGACUGUGACAAGAAUGGAACUGGAAUGAUAGAAGGCUCUUCUAGCCAUCCAGACAUUUAGAGGAUGAAUCAAGGUGGACACACUAGAGGCAAGGUGAUCAGCUAGAAAUCUAUUCCAGUUGACAUGUUAAGAACAUAAAGUAAGGUGAGUCCAUGGGCAUGGAUAUGAGGAGCAUCAGGGAGGUAAGUUAAAUGGAAUUUGAAAAUAAAGUGUAUGUGUUUGAUAUUAAAUAGCUUCAAACCUGAGCAAUGAAGAAGAUGAUGAUGAAUGAGCAUUAAGGUGAAGCAUCAUAUCCUAUUACUGGAGGGUCAUUAUGCUUACUUUGUCUGCUUGGAUAAAGAAUUAGGCCAAAUAGUACAUUUCAUAAUAAAUCUUCCUCCUAGAUGGGUUACAUGUAGCAUCCAAUGUUCUUCAUGAGACCGGUUAGUGAAAAAAAAAA